This 1377-nucleotide ribosomal RNA is filed under the name uncultured Gammaproteobacteria bacterium. RNAcentral describes it as "bacterial SSU rRNA". It matches the Rfam family "Bacterial small subunit ribosomal RNA", at positions 27 to 1393 of the family's 1533-position model. Lineage: Bacteria; Pseudomonadati; Pseudomonadota; Gammaproteobacteria. The record is from RNAcentral.
GAUUGAACGCUGGCGGCAGGCCUAACACAUGCAAGUCGAACGGUAACAGGAAGAAGCUUGCUUCUUUGCUGACGAGUGGCGGACGGGUGAGUAAUGUCUGGGAAACUGCCUGAUGGAGGGGGAUAACUACUGGAAACGGUAGCUAAUACCGCAUAACGUCGCAAGACCAAAGAGGGGGACCUUAGGGCCUCUUGCCAUCGGAUGUGCCCAGAUGGGAUUAGCUAGUAGGUGGGGUAAAGGCUCACCUAGGCGACGAUCCCUAGCUGGUCUGAGAGGAUGACCAGCCACACUGGAACUGAGACACGGUCCAGACUCCUACGGGAGGCAGCAGUGGGGAAUAUUGCACAAUGGGCGCAAGCCUGAUGCAGCCAUGCCGCGUGUAUGAAGAAGGCCUUCGGGUUGUAAAGUACUUUCAGCGGGGAGGAAGGUGUUGUGGUUAAUAACCACAGCAAUUGACGUUACCCGCAGAAGAAGCACCGGCUAACUCCGUGCCAGCAGCCGCGGUAAUACGGAGGGUGCAAGCGUUAAUCGGAAUUACUGGGCGUAAAGCGCACGCAGGCGGUCUGUCAAGUCGGAUGUGAAAUCCCCGGGCUCAACCUGGGAACUGCAUUCGAAACUGGCAAGCUUGAGUCUCGUAGAGGGGGGUAGAAUUCCACGUGUAGCGGUGAAAUGCGUAGAGAUCUGGAGGAAUACCGGUGGCGAAAGGCGGCCCCUGGACGAAGACUGACGCUCAGGUGCGAAAGCGUGGGGGAGCAAACAGGAUUAGAUACCCUGGUAGUCCACGCCGUAAACGAUGUCUAUUUGGAGGUUGUGCCCCUGAGGUGUGGCUUCCGGAGCUAACGCGUUAAAUAGACCGCCUGGGGAGUACGGCCGCAAGGUUAAAACUCAAAUGAAUUGACGGGGGCCCGCACAAGCGGUGGAGCAUGUGGUUUAAUUCGAUGCAACGCGAAGAACCUUACCUGGUCUUGACAUCCACAGAACUUUCCAGAGAUGGAGGGGUGCCUUCGGGAACUGUGAGACAGGUGCUGCAUGGCUGUCGUCAGCUCGUGUUGUGAAAUGUUGGGUUAAGUCCCGCAACGAGCGCAACCCUUAUCCUUUGUUGCCAGCGGUUAGGCCGGGAACUCAAAGGAGACUGCCAGUGAUAAACUGGAGGAAGGUGGGGAUGACGUCAAGUCAUCAUGGCCCUUACGACCAGGGCUACACACGUGCUACAAUGGCGCAUACAAAGAGAAGCGAACUCGCGAGAGCAAGCGGACCUCAUAAAGUGCGUCGUAGUCCGGACUGGAGUCUGCAACUCGACUCCAUGAAGUCGGAAUCGCUAGUAAUCGUGGAUCAGAAUGCCACGGUGAAUACGUUCCCGGGCCUUGUACACACCGC